This is a long non-coding RNA of Glycine soja, 379 nucleotides long. RefSeq lists it as uncharacterized. The record is from RefSeq and is a predicted model, not a curated record. The transcript has 2 exons. NCBI's taxonomy places the organism in Eukaryota, Viridiplantae, Streptophyta, Magnoliopsida, Fabales, Fabaceae.
UUUAUUUUCUGAAGAAAUAUACCCUACAACAUAGCAUUUUGUUGUGGAGAUGAUCAUAUAUUUGUUUUGAUCUUUUCUCACGUGUUUAUUUAGGUUUUCGUUGCUAAUCCUAAUAAGCCUCGAGAAGUAAAAAUUAUUUUGUCGAAGAACCAGGAGAAGCUACUAGAUUUGCUUCAUAAUCUGUCCCCAAGAAAAGGUUCAGAAGAUGAACAAUUUGAGGAGGAAAAGGAGUUUAUCAUCAAGGAAAUUGAAAGACUAUUGAUCUAAGUUAAUUUUUUUUUCUACUGCAGCUGUGUGUGAUUUUGUAACAAGUCCUUUUGUGACCUGUAUAUCCAAAGUUAAUUUGCUGCAAGGAUUUCAUGUUGCUAUUUAUAGGAAA